UUAAGUCUUUAUUUUUGUAUUGUAAUAGACUACGUUUUAAUAAGCUAUAUGUAAAUAUAGUGCUUAGGCGGAGCUUAUUAACACACAAAUUAAAGAUUAAAUUAGUAUUGAAUGAAACUUUGUUUAUAUAUCGAUAAUGACGAUAUAUAUAUUAUGUCUUGACCAAUUACGUGCCAGCAGUCGCGGUAAUACGUAAGAGACUAGUGUUAUUCAUCUUAAUUAGGUUUAAAGGGUACUCAAACGGUCUGUUUUGCACAAAAGACUAGAGUUAUAUAGAAGAAGGUAGUACCUUAAGUGUAGAGAUAAAAUUUUGUUAUACUGGAGGGACUUAGAAAAGGCGUAGGCAACCUUCUAAGUAAUAACUGACGUUGAAGGACGAAGGCAUAGGUCACGAACAGGACUAGUAACCCAAGUAGUCUUUGCAGUCAACGAUGAAUGCCAUAGGUUAGAUAAAAAUUUAGUCUAUAAAUGAAAAUGUAAGCAUUUCACCUCAAGAGUAAUGUGGCAACGCAGGAACUGAAAU
This 523-nucleotide ribosomal RNA is filed under the name Beauveria bassiana. RNAcentral's name for it is "SSU rRNA". It matches the Rfam family "Bacterial small subunit ribosomal RNA", at positions 401 to 906 of the family's 1533-position model. The record is from RNAcentral. Lineage: Eukaryota; Fungi; Ascomycota; Sordariomycetes; Hypocreales; Cordycipitaceae.